GAUUCUGGCUCAGGAUGAACGCUAGCUACAGGCUUAACACAUGCAAGUCGAGGGGCAUCAUGGAGUUGCUUGCAAACUCUGAUGGCGACCGGCGCACGGGUGAGUAACGCGUAUCCAACCUUCCCUAUAGUAGAGGAUAGCCCGGCGAAAGUCGGAUUAAUACUCUAUGUUUUCCGUUGCAGACAUCUAAGAUGGAACAAAGGCUUGCCGCUAUAGGAUGGGGAUGCGUCUGAUUAGGUAGUCGGCGGGGUAACGGCCCGCCGAGCCAUCGAUCAGUAGGGGUUCUGAGAGGAAGGUCCCCCACAUUGGAACUGAGACACGGUCCAAACUCCUACGGGAGGCAGCAGUGAGGAAUAUUGGUCAAUGGGCGAGAGCCUGAACCAGCCAAGUAGCGUGACAGGACGACCGGCCCUAGUGGGUUAGUAAACUGUCUUUUAUGCGGGGAUAAAGUUCACUACGUGUAGUGUUUUGUAGGUACCGCAUGAAUAAGGACCGGCUAAUUCCGUGCCAGCAGCUGC
Molecule: ribosomal RNA, 518 nt
Filed under: uncultured bacterium
Lineage: Bacteria
Description: bacterial SSU rRNA
Rfam family: Bacterial small subunit ribosomal RNA
Source: RNAcentral